UACGUAGGGUGCGAGCGUUGUCCGGAAUUAUUGGGCGUAAAGAGCUUGUAGGUGGUUUGUCGCGUCUGCUGUGAAAAUCCGAGGCUCAACCUCGGACUUGCAGUGGGUACGGGCAGACUAGAGUGUGGUAGGGGAGACUGGAAUUCCGGGUGGAGCGGUGAAAUGCGUAGAGAUCCGGAGGGACACCGAAGGCGAAGGCAGUCUCCUGGCAAGUUACUGACGCUCAGGUGCGAAAGCUAGGGGAGCGAACAGG
RNAcentral lists this ribosomal RNA (253 nucleotides) under uncultured bacterium. RNAcentral describes it as "partial 16S ribosomal RNA". It matches the Rfam family "Bacterial small subunit ribosomal RNA", at positions 524 to 776 of the family's 1533-position model. The record is from RNAcentral.